This is a long non-coding RNA of Cebus imitator (Panamanian white-faced capuchin), 307 nucleotides long. RefSeq lists it as uncharacterized. The record is from RefSeq and is a predicted model, not a curated record. Lineage: Eukaryota; Metazoa; Chordata; Mammalia; Primates; Cebidae. The transcript has 3 exons.
UGCUCUAGAGAAGAGAAUAAAGUUCUCUGGGGAGCUCUUCAAAGGGGAAGGUUCCUGGAUCCCAUCUCUGAGAUUGUGAUCAGGUUCAUUGGUUUAUUCAGCAAACAUUUACUGAACGCGUGCCAUGUAUCAGGCACUGUCACAGGCCCUCAAAAUACAAAUUGCAAAUGGAUCUCAUCACAAAGAAGCUCACAUUGCGGUGAAUGAAUGGCAACAGCUCAUUGUACCUUGGAGCAUAUGUAGAAACUGUGUUGUAAAUGGAAUUACAAAAAGGCACAGGAUCACAAAGGGAAGUCCAGUUUUAUAA